AGUGAACGCUGGCGGUAGGCCUAACACAUGCAAGUCGAACGGCAGCACAGUAAGAGCUUGCUCUUACGGGUGGCGAGUGGCGGACGGGUGAGGAAUACAUCGGAAUCUACUUUUUCGUGGGGGAUAACGUAGGGAAACUUACGCUAAUACCGCAUACGACCUACGGGUGAAAGCAGGGGAUCUUCGGACCUUGCGCGAUUGAAUGAGCCGAUGUCGGAUUAGCUAGUUGGCGGGGUAAAGGCCCACCAAGGCGACGAUCCGUAGCUGGUCUGAGAGGAUGAUCAGCCACACUGGAACUGCGACACGGUCCAGACUCCUACGGGGGGCAGCAGUGGGGAAUAUUGGACAAUGGGCGCAAGCCUGAUCCAGCCAUACCGCGUGGGUGAAGAAGGCCUUCGGGUUGUAAAGCCCUUUUGUUGGGAAAGAAAAGCAGCAGGUUAAUACCCCGCUGUUCUGACGGUACCCAAAGAAUAAGCACCGGCUAACUUCGUG
RNAcentral lists this ribosomal RNA (492 nucleotides) under uncultured bacterium. RNAcentral describes it as "partial 16S ribosomal RNA". It matches the Rfam family "Bacterial small subunit ribosomal RNA", at positions 29 to 507 of the family's 1533-position model. The record is from RNAcentral.